UCUGCGAUUUCCGAAUGGGGAAACCCAACUGCAUAAGCAGUUACUGUUAACUGAAUACAUAGGUUAACAGAGCAAACCGGGGGAACUGAAACAUCUAAGUACCCCGAGGAGAAGAAAUCAACCGAGAUUCCGGUAGUAGCGGCGAGCGAACCUGGAUUAGCCCUUAAGCACUCGGUGAAGUAGGUGAACAAGCUGGAAAGCUUGGCGAUACAGGGUGAUAGCCCCGUAACCGACGCUUCAUCGAGCGUGAAAUCGAGUAGGGCGGGACACGUGAUAUCCUGUCUGAAUAUGGGGGGACCAUCCUCCAAGGCUAAAUACUCCUGACUGACCGAUAGUGAACCAGUACCGUGAGGGAAAGGCGAAAAGAACCCCUGUGAGGGGAGUGAAAUAGAACCUGAAACCGUGUACGUACAAGCAGUAGGAGCACCUUCGUGGUGUGACUGCGUACCUUUUGUAUAAUGGGUCAGCGACUUAUAUUCAGUGGCAAGGUUAACCGUAUAGGGGAGCCGUAGCGAAAGCGAGUCUUAACUGGGCGCUCAGUCUCUGGAUAUAGACCCGAAACCGGGUGAUCUAGCCAUGGGCAGGUUGAAGGUUGAGUAACAUCAACUGGAGGACCGAACCGACUAAUGUUGAAAAAUUAGCGGAUGACUUGUGGCUAGGGGUGAAAGGCCAAUCAAACUCGGAGAUAGCUGGUUCUCCCCGAAAGCUAUUUAGGUAGCGCCUCGGACGAAUACUACUGGGGGUAGAGCACUGUUAAGGCUAGGGGGUCAUCCCGACUUACCAACCCUUUGCAAACUCCGAAUACCAGUAAGUACUAUCCGGGAGACACACGGCGGGUGCUAACGUCCGUCGUGGAGAGGGAAACAACCCAGACCGCCAGCUAAGGUCCCAAAGUAUUGCUAAGUGGGAAACGAUGUGGGAAGGCUCAGACAGCUAGGAUGUUGGCUUAGAAGCAGCCAUCAUUUAAAGAAAGCGUAAUAGCUCACUAGUCGAGUCGGCCUGCGCGGAAGAUGUAACGGGGCUAAGCAAUACACCGAAGCUGCGGCAAUAUCUUUUAGAUAUUGGGUAGGGGAGCGUUCUGUAAGCCGUUGAAGGUGAAUCGUAAGGUUUGCUGGAGGUAUCAGAAGUGCGAAUGCUGACAUGAGUAACGACAAAGGGGGUGAAAAACCUCCUCGCCGGAAGACCAAGGGUUCCUGUCCAACGUUAAUCGGGGCAGGGUGAGUCGACCCCUAAGGUGAGGCCGAAAGGCGUAAUCGAUGGGAAACGGGUUAAUAUUCCCGUACUUCUGACUAUUGCGAUGGGGGGACGGAGAAGGCUAGGUGGGCCAGGCGACGGUUGUCCUGGUUCAAGUGCGUAGGCUUGAGAGUUAGGUAAAUCCGGCUCUCUCUAAGGCUGAGACACGACGUCGAGCUGCUACGGCAGUGAAGUCAUUGAUGCCAUGCUUCCAGGAAAAGCCUCUAAGCUUCAGAUAGUCAGGAAUCGUACCCCAAACCGACACAGGUGGUCGGGUAGAGAAUACCAAGGCGCUUGAGAGAACUCGGGUGAAGGAACUAGGCAAAAUGGUACCGUAACUUCGGGAGAAGGUACGCUCUUGAUGGUGAAGUCCCUCGCGGAUGGAGCUGACGAGAGUCGCAGAUACCAGGUGGCUGCAACUGUUUAUUAAAAACACAGCACUGUGCAAAAUCGCAAGAUGACGUAUACGGUGUGACGCCUGCCCGGUGCCGGAAGGUUAAUUGAUGGGGUUAGCGCAAGCGAAGCUCUUGAUCGAAGCCCCGGUAAACGGCGGCCGUAACUAUAACGGUCCUAAGGUAGCGAAAUUCCUUGUCGGGUAAGUUCCGACCUGCACGAAUGGCGUAAUGAUGGCCACGCUGUCUCCACCCGAGACUCAGUGAAAUUGAAAUCGCUGUGAAGAUGCAGUGUACCCGCGGCUAGACGGAAAGACCCCGUGAACCUUUACUACAGCUUGGCACUGAACAUUGAACCUACAUGUGUAGGAUAGGUGGGAGGCUAUGAAGACGUGACGCCAGUUGCGUUGGAGCCGUCCUUGAAAUACCACCCUUGUAUGUUUGAUGUUCUAACUUAGACCCAUUAUCUGGGUUGAGGACAGUGCCUGGUGGGUAGUUUGACUGGGGCGGUCUCCUCCCAAAGAGUAACGGAGGAGCACGAAGGUGGGCUAAUCACGGUUGGACAUCGUGAGGUUAGUGCAAUGGCAUAAGCCCGCUUAACUGCGAGAAUGACGGUUCGAGCAGGUGCGAAAGCAGGUCAUAGUGAUCCGGUGGUUCUGUAUGGAAGGGCCAUCGCUCAACGGAUAAAAGGUACUCCGGGGAUAACAGGCUGAUACCGCCCAAGAGUUCAUAUCGACGGCGGUGUUUGGCACCUCGAUGUCGGCUCAUCACAUCCUGGGGCUGAAGUCGGUCCCAAGGGUAUGGCUGUUCGCCAUUUAAAGUGGUACGCGAGCUGGGUUUAGAACGUCGUGAGACAGUUCGGUCCCUAUCUGCCGUGGGCGUUGGAAGAUUGAAGGGGGCUGCUCCUAGUACGAGAGGACCGGAGUGGACGAACCUCUGGUGUUCGGGUUGUGUCGCCAGACGCAUUGCCCGGUAGCUAAGUUCGGAAUUGAUAAGCGCUGAAAGCAUCUAAGCGCGAAGCGAGCCCUGAGAUGAGUCUUCCCUGAUACUUUAAGUAUCCUAAAGGGUUGUUCGAGACUAGAACGUUGAUAGGCAGGGUGUGUAAGCGUUGUGAGGCGUUGAGCUAACCUGUACUAAUUGCCCGUGAGGCUUAACCAU
This 2783-nucleotide ribosomal RNA is filed under the name Vibrio cholerae. RNAcentral describes it as "partial 23S ribosomal RNA". It matches the Rfam family "Bacterial large subunit ribosomal RNA". The record is from RNAcentral. Lineage: Bacteria; Pseudomonadati; Pseudomonadota; Gammaproteobacteria; Vibrionales; Vibrionaceae.